AUUUUAAAGAUGUUGGAAGAUCCAUAUGCUGCCUGGAGGCUGUUGUUUCUAGGGACACAAGUAUCCAGCCUAUAUUGUUACAAUUUUUUUUCAAGAACUGCCGUCUUCUUUGCCUGCACUAAUGUAACAUUUUGCGUUUUCCUUAUAUUACAAAAUUAUGUGUGUUAGUGUAUUUUCAAUUUAACCAAACAUUUGAGUUUUAGUUCCUUCAACGUUGUAAAAGUUGAAUUUCAUUUUGAACCUAGGGAUUUCUUAAAUAACUAUUGUAAGUUUCUCCUGAGGUUUUUCUAAUAAAUAGUCAUAUAAUAAUUCCCACAUUAUUGUUUGUUUCAUUUUGAAAUGAUACUGCAACUGAAUUACAGAUAGUCAUGUUUUAAAAAUAAUAAAUAUUCUGGAAUAAGAUAAUUUUUUAAGAAUAUGUGCACAAUUGCUUUUGGCUUUAAAAAU
Molecule: small RNA, 447 nt
Filed under: Pongo abelii (Sumatran orangutan)
Lineage: Eukaryota; Metazoa; Chordata; Mammalia; Primates; Hominidae
Description: processed transcript
Source: RNAcentral